GACGAACGCUGGCGGCGUGCUUAACACAUGCAAGUCGAACGGAAAGGCCCUGCUUUUGUGGGGUGCUCGAGUGGCGAACGGGUGAGUAACACGUGAGUAACCUGCCCUUGACUUUGGGAUAACUUCAGGAAACUGGGGCUAAUACCGGAUAGGAGCUCCUGCUGCAUGGUGGGGGUUGGAAAGUUUCGGCGGUUGGGGAUGGACUCGCGGCUUAUCAGCUUGUUGGUGGGGUAGUGGCUUACCAAGGCUUUGACGGGUAGCCGGCCUGAGAGGGUGACCGGCCACAUUGGGACUGAGAUACGGCCCAGACUCCUACGGGAGGCAGCAGUGGGGAAUAUUGCAAAAUGGGCGGAAGCCUGAUGCAGCAAAGCCGCGUGCGGGAUGACGGCCUUCGGGUUGUAAACCGCUUUCGCAUGUGACGAAGCGUGAGUGACGGUAAUGGGUAAAGAAGCACCGGCUAACUACGUG
RNAcentral lists this ribosomal RNA (468 nucleotides) under uncultured bacterium. RNAcentral's name for it is "partial 16S ribosomal RNA". It matches the Rfam family "Bacterial small subunit ribosomal RNA", at positions 28 to 507 of the family's 1533-position model. The record is from RNAcentral.